AGAAGUAGAGCAGGAUCUGGGUUACAUCUCUUCGAGAUCAUCCCAUGGAACCACGAAAACAUACCACAAAGAGACAUAGGAGACGAGUACACAUCUCAAACAUCCAUGGGAGGUCAUGGAUUAGGUAGGGAUUGAAAGAGAUUAGGGUGGGAGCAGCUAGGGUUUAAGUGAGGUUACAAAGAGAACUGGAGAGGAAAUGGAUUCAAGGACGUCAG
RNAcentral lists this long non-coding RNA (215 nucleotides) under Nicotiana benthamiana. RNAcentral describes it as "long non-coding RNA (NBEN_LNC018534)". The record is from RNAcentral. Lineage: Eukaryota; Viridiplantae; Streptophyta; Magnoliopsida; Solanales; Solanaceae.